RNAcentral lists this non-coding RNA (45 nucleotides) under Schistosoma margrebowiei. The record is from RNAcentral. Lineage: Eukaryota; Metazoa; Platyhelminthes; Trematoda; Strigeidida; Schistosomatidae.
GUCUAGCUGAAGAGUCUCAAAUAAGACGAAACUCUCGUCCUGGAU